UAUAGCGAACUGGACAACAAGUGAUUACUGUUGUUCAUGAGCGUAUAGUAAUUGCAUAAGCGCCUGGAGGUAAUUUCAUUUUUAAUUGUGUUCAUGACCAUGGCAAGUGACAGCGACACAAAUCACAGACAACAGACAUAUGUGAAUGAAGCGAAUGAACUAUGGCGCUCAGACUUGGUUUUUUGUACUUGAGCACUGAUUAAAAUGUGUUGUGCCCCGUGCAGCUCGACUGGACUAUGAUGCCACUGGAUGUGGCAUGCUCAAACGCUGAUCGCUGGCAAACAAACUGGCAACGUCUAGUCGCUCCUCGUAGGCGUUAUGACAAUAGAUUUACGAGUAUAGCGUUCGCUUAAUUUGCGCUAUUCAUUGUGUGUAGAAGACCUCCAGCUGAAAAACCUUAAGACACAGUCGCUUGAAUGAAAUGCCCCCGGAAAAAACCAAUUGUCCAGACUCGGCUUAAUAUCCAGUCGAGCCAAUGGAAAACGUGUGCGGUGGACAUGGACCAACUGCCAGGCUGACUGUUCGCUUGGAUGGCUGUCUUCUUGGUGGGCGGCAGGUUUACGUAUACAUAUCGCUGCCUUUGAGUGGCGCAAUAAAUUUUAAUCAAAAUUAAAAAAUGUGUAUACACAAUAAACUAAACAAAGUGCCAA
This is a non-coding RNA of Drosophila virilis, 650 nucleotides long. NCBI's taxonomy places the organism in Eukaryota, Metazoa, Arthropoda, Insecta, Diptera, Drosophilidae. The record is from RefSeq and is a predicted model, not a curated record.